AUUGGAUUUAUAGAAGUAAAACAUAAGUCAUAAGUGACUUGUGCUGAAAUCGGAAUGAAAACAGAAGAUUUAGAAUUUUCUAUUGAAAACGGGACAGAUAAAUUAGCAGAAAAUGCAUAGUCUCAGAAAAUUAUGAAAAUUGGAGGAUAAGUCAAAAAUAUUUUUAUGAGGCUAGAUUUAAAGUUUCAUAUUUUUCUGACACCCGUAGAGUGAGAAAUAAAAUCCGACAGCUACCUGAUAAAGAUUACAGUUCGGUACAAUUUUCGGUGACCAAAUGGGGUCGAAACUGAAAACUUAAAAUAUAUUCUUGCUCAGUACGUAAAACCGAACAUGACUAUCAAGUUUGAGCUCAAACGGACAUUCAAGGAGCUCCGGCGAAAGUUAUCAGA
RNAcentral lists this long non-coding RNA (389 nucleotides) under Ananas comosus (pineapple). RNAcentral's name for it is "long non-coding RNA (ACOM_LNC035006)". Lineage: Eukaryota; Viridiplantae; Streptophyta; Magnoliopsida; Poales; Bromeliaceae. The record is from RNAcentral.